This 375-nucleotide ribosomal RNA is filed under the name uncultured Nitrososphaerota archaeon. RNAcentral describes it as "bacterial SSU rRNA". It matches the Rfam family "Archaeal small subunit ribosomal RNA", at positions 505 to 880 of the family's 1478-position model. The record is from RNAcentral. Lineage: Archaea; Thermoproteati; Nitrososphaerota.
UGGGCCUAAAGCAUCCGUAGCCGGCUGUUCAAGUUUCCGGUUAAAUCCACACGCUUAACGUAUGGGCUGCCGGAAAUACUGUUCAGCUAGGGAGUGGGAGAGGUGGACGGUACUCGGUAGGAAGGGGUAAAAUCCUUUGAUCUAUUGAUGACCACCUGUGGCGAAGGCGGUCCACCAGAACACGUUCGACGGUGAGGGAUGAAAGCUGGGGGAGCAAACCGGAUUAGAUACCCGGGUAGUCCCAGCUGUAAACGAUGCAGACUCGGUGAUGCAUUGGCUUGUGGCCAGUGCAGUGCCGCAGGGAAGCCGUUAAGUUUGCCGCCUGGGAAGUACGUACGCAAGUAUGAAACUUAAAGGAAUUGGCGGGGGAGCACA